RNAcentral lists this unclassified non-coding RNA (409 nucleotides) under uncultured Herpotrichiellaceae. RNAcentral's name for it is "sequence contains ITS1". The stretch from base 1 to 102 matches the Rfam family "5.8S ribosomal RNA", at positions 50 to 154 of the family's 154-position model. Lineage: Eukaryota; Fungi; Ascomycota; Eurotiomycetes; Chaetothyriales; Herpotrichiellaceae. The record is from RNAcentral.
GAAAUGCGAUACGUAAUGCGAAUUGCAGAAUCCGUGAGUCAUCGAACCUUUGAACGCACCUUGCGCUUCCGGGUAACCGGGAGCAUGUCUGUUGGAGUGCCUGUUCUCAACCACAACUUUUCUUUUUUUAUAGAAGAAGAGUGUGUCACUCCUGUGUACCUUUUGGGGGCACAGGAGUCGUUUAAAACCCGAUAGAUGAAAGUUCUUCACAUCUAUUAUAUGCAUAUACAUUUGUUUGUAUGUAUGUAUGUAUGUACAACAAAAAGCACAUAAUGGGUUGUUGAGUGUCGUGAGUAAUUCUUUACAACGCUUAUUCAACUUUUUUGUUAUGUGUGUACAUAUAAUAAUAGAUUGCAUACACACUUUCCCAUCGGGCCUCCAAUCAGACAAGAAGACCCGCUGAAUUUAA